AACGGCGAGUGAAGCGGCAAAAGCUCAAAUUUGAAAUCUGGCCUCCUACGGGGGUCCGAGUUGUAAUUUGUAGAGGAUGCUUCGGGUGUGGCCGCCGUCUAAGUUCCUUGGAACAGGACGUCAGAGAGGGUGAGAAUCCCGUCUUGGGCGGCCGGUCCGCGCCCGUGUGAAGCUCCUUCGACGAGUCGAGUUGUUUGGGAAUGCAGCUCUAAGCGGGUGGUAAAUUUCAUCUAAAGCUAAAUACUGGUCGGAGACCGAUAGCGCACAAGUAGAGUGAUCGAAAGGUUAAAAGCACCUUGAAAAGGGAGUUAAACAGCACGUGAAAUUGUUGAAAGGGAAGSGSUUGCGGCCAGACUCGGGGGCGGGGUUCAGCGGGCGCUCGUCGCCCGUGCACUCCCCGUCUCCCGGGCCAGCAUCAGUUUCGACGGCCGGUCAAAGGCCUCCGGAAUGUGUCGUCUCUCGGGACGUCUUAUAGCCGGGGGUGCAAUGCGGCCCGUCGGGACUGAGGAACGCGCUUCGGCUCGGAUGCUGGCGUAAUGGCCGUAAGCGGCCCGUCUUGAAACACGGACCAAGGAGUCUAACAUCCACGCGAGUGUUCGGGUGUCAAACCCGUGCGCGCAGUGAAAGCGAACGGAGGUGGGAGCCUUAGGGCGCACCAUCGACCGAUCCUGAAGUCUUCGGAUGGAUUUGAGUAGGAGCGUGGCCGUUGGGACCCGAAAGAUGGUGAACUAUGCCUGAAUAGGGUGAAGCCAGAGGAAACUCUGGUGGAGGCUCGCAGCGGUUCUGACGUGCAAAUCGAUCGUCAAAUUU
RNAcentral lists this ribosomal RNA (810 nucleotides) under Nannizzia fulva. RNAcentral describes it as "eukaryotic LSU rRNA". It matches the Rfam family "Eukaryotic large subunit ribosomal RNA", at positions 85 to 912 of the family's 3401-position model. Lineage: Eukaryota; Fungi; Ascomycota; Eurotiomycetes; Onygenales; Arthrodermataceae. The record is from RNAcentral.